This 1248-nucleotide ribosomal RNA is filed under the name Triticum aestivum (bread wheat). Its description in RNAcentral is "partial small subunit ribosomal RNA". Lineage: Eukaryota; Viridiplantae; Streptophyta; Magnoliopsida; Poales; Poaceae. The record is from RNAcentral.
AUGGCGAUCCGCCGUGGGUCCUCCUGCGCCGUCCUCGCCCUGCUCGCGCUCGCCUCCGUCGCCGCCGUCAGCGCCGACGUCUUCUUCCAGGAGAAGUUCGAAGAUGGUUGGGAAAGCCGGUGGGUCAAGUCUGAGUGGAAGAAGGAUGAGAACAUGGCUGGUGAAUGGAACCACACAUCUGGAAAAUGGCACGGAGAUGCCGAGGACAAAGGUAUCCAAACCUCAGAGGACUACAGGUUCUACGCCAUCUCGGCGGAGUACCCUGAGUUCAGCAACAAGGACAAGACACUCGUGCUGCAGUUCACGGUGAAGCAUGAGCAGAAGCUUGACUGCGGUGGUGGUUACGUCAAGUUGCUUGGAGGUGAUGUUGACCAGAAGAAAUUCGGUGGUGACACACCCUACAGCAUUAUGUUUGGACCAGAUAUCUGUGGGUACAGCACCAAGAAGGUUCACACUAUCCUUACCAAGGAUGGCAAGAACCAUUUGAUCAAGAAGGACGUGCCUUGCGAGACUGAUCAGCUGUCGCAUGUGUACACUUUGAUCAUCCGCCCUGAUGCCACAUACAGCAUUCUCAUUGACAACGAAGAGAAGCAAACUGGAAGCAUCUACGAGCACUGGGAUAUUCUUCCUCCCAAGGAAAUCAAGGACCCAGAAGCUAAGAAGCCAGAGGACUGGGAUGACAAGGAGUACAUUCCCGAUCCUGAGGACGUCAAGCCAGAGGGCUACGAUGACAUUCCCAAGGAAGUCACCGAUCCUGAUGCUAAGAAGCCUGAGGAUUGGGAUGAUGAGGAAGAUGGUGAAUGGACUGCCCCAACCAUCCCCAACCCAGAGUACAAGGGCCCAUGGAAGCAAAAGAAAAUCAAGAACCCUAACUACCAGGGCAAAUGGAAGGCACCUAUGAUUGCCAACCCAGACUUCAAGGAUGAUCCUUACAUCUAUGCUUUCGACAGCCUGAAGUACAUCGGAAUUGAGCUGUGGCAGGUUAAGUCAGGAACUUUGUUUGACAACAUUCUCAUCACUGACGAUGCUGCUUUGGCUAAGACAUUUGCUGAAGAGACCUGGGCCAAGCAUAAGGAAGCUGAGAAGGCUGCUUUCGACGCUGCUGAAAAGAAGAAGGAAGAGGAGGAUGCUUCCAAGGCUGGUGAGGACGAUGAUGACUUGGAUGAUGAGGAAGCCGAUGACGAGGACAAGGAUGACAAGGCUGGGUCUGAUGCGGAGUCUGAUGACGAGAAGCACGAUGAGCUCUAG